CGACCGGCGCACGGGUGCGUAACGCGUAUGCAACCUACCUUUAACAGGGGGAUAACACUGAGAAAUUGGUACUAAUACCCCAUAAUAUCAUAGAAGGCAUCUUUUAUGGUUGAAAAUUCCGAUGGUUAGAGAUGGGCAUGCGCUGUAUUAGCUAGUUGGUGGGGUAACGGCUCACCAAGGCGACGAUACAUAGGGGGACUGAGAGGUUAACCCCCCACACUGGUACUGAGACACGGACCAG
RNAcentral lists this ribosomal RNA (241 nucleotides) under uncultured bacterium. RNAcentral describes it as "partial 16S ribosomal RNA". It matches the Rfam family "Bacterial small subunit ribosomal RNA", at positions 92 to 334 of the family's 1533-position model. The record is from RNAcentral.